Molecule: ribosomal RNA, 253 nt
Filed under: uncultured bacterium
Lineage: Bacteria
Description: partial 16S ribosomal RNA
Rfam family: Bacterial small subunit ribosomal RNA
Source: RNAcentral
UACGAAGGGGGCUAGCGUUGUUCGGAAUUACUGGGCGUAAAGCGCACGUAGGCGGAUUGUUAAGUCGGGGGUGAAAUCCUGAGGCUCAACCUCAGAACUGCCUUCGAUACUGGCAAUCUCGAGUCCGGAAGAGGUUGGUGGAACAGCUAGUGUAGAGGUGAAAUUCGUGGAUAUUAGCUAGAACACCAGUGGCGAAGGCGGCCAACUGGUCCGGUACUGACGCUGAGGUGCGAAAGCGUGGGGAGCAAACAGG